AGUCAAGUAAUUAAGUGCAUGUGGUGGAUGCCUUGGCAGUCAGAGGCGAUGAAAGACGUGAUAGCCUGCGAAAAGCUCCGGGGAGGCGGCAAAUAUCCUUUGAUCCGGAGAUGUCUGAAUGGGGGAACCCACCUACUUUAAGGUAGGUAUUGCAACAUGAAUACAUAGUGUUGCAAGGCGAACGAGGGGAAGUGAAACAUCUCAGUACCCUUAGGAAAAGAAAUCAAUUGAGAUUCCCUCAGUAGCGGCGAGCGAACGGGGAUCAGCCCAUUAAGUUAUGUGUGUUUUAGUGGAACGCUCUGGGAAGUGCGAACGUAGAGGGUGAUAUUCCCGUACACGAAAGGGCACACAUAAUGAUGACGAGUAGGGCGAGGCACGUGAAACCUUGUCUGAAUAUGGGGGGACCAUCCUCCAAGGCUAAAUACUCCUGACUGACCGAUAGUGAACCAGUACCGUGAGGGAAAGGCGAAAAGAACCCCUGUGAGGGGAGUGAAAUAGAUCCUGAAACCGCAUGCAUACAAGCAGUGGGAGCACCUUCGUGGUGUGACUGCGUACCUUUUGUAUAAUGGGUCAGCGACUUAUAUUCAGUAGCGAGGUUAACCGUAUAGGGGAGCCGUAGAGAAAUCGAGUCUUAAUAGGGCGUUUAGUUGCUGGGUAUAGACCCGAAACCAGGCGAUCUAUCCAUGAGCAGGUUGAAGGUUGGGUAACACUAACUGGAGGACCGAACCCACUGUCGUUGAAAAGCCAGGGGAUGACUUGUGGAUAGGGGUGAAAGGCUAAUCAAGCCUGGUGAUAGCUGGUUCUCCCCGAAAGCUAUUUAGGUAGCGCCUCGGACGAAUACCAUAGGGGGUAGAGCACUGUUUCGGCUAGGGGGUCAUCCCGACUUACCAAACCGAUGCAAACUCCGAAUACCUAUGAGUACUAUCCGGGAGACAGACUGCGGGUGCUAACGUCCGUAGUCAAGAGGAAAACAAUCCAGACCGCCAGCUAAGGCCCCAAAAUCAUAGUUAAGUGGGAAACGAUGUGGGAAGGCAUAGACAGCUAGGAGGUUGGCUUAGAAGCAGCCACCCUUUAAAGAAAGCGUAAUAGCUCACUAGUCGAGUCGGCCUGCGCGGAAGAUGUAACGGGGCUAAAACUAUGUGCCGAAGCUGCGGAUGUAUACUUUGUAUACGUGGUAGGGGAGCGUUCUGUAAGCCGAUGAAGGUGUGUUGAGAAGCAUGCUGGAGGUAUCAGAAGUGCGAAUGCUGACGUGAGUAACGACAAAACGGGUGAAAAACCCGUUCGCCGAAAGACCAAGGGUUCCAGUCCAACGUUAAUCGGGGCUGGGUGAGUCGACCCCUAAGGCGAGGCCGAAAGGCGUAGUCGAUGGGAAAAUGGUUAAUAUUCCAUUACUUCUGUGUAAUGCGAUGAGAGGACGGAGAAGGCUAAAUCAGCCUGGCGUUGGUUGUCCAGGUGAAAGGAUGUAGGCAUGUAUCUUAGGCAAAUCCGGGGUACUCUAUGCUGAGAUCUGAUAGCAAGCUGUACUUGUACAGCGAAGUGGUUGAUGCCAUGCUUCCAGGAAAAGUCUCUAAGCUUCAGUUACACAGGAAUCGUACCCGAAACCGACACAGGUGGUCAGGUCGAGUAGACCAAGGCGCUUGAGAGAACUCUGCUGAAGGAACUAGGCAAAAUGGUACCGUAACUUCGGGAGAAGGUACGCUGUUGUUGGUGAUGGAACUGCUUCCUGAGCUGACGACAGCCGCAGAAACCAGGCCGCUGCAACUGUUUAUUAAAAACAUAGCACUCUGCAAACACGAAAGUGGACGUAUAGGGUGUGAUGCCUGCCCGGUGCUGGAAGGUUAAUUGAUGGGGUUAGCGUAAGCGAAGCUCUUGAUCGAAGCCCCAGUAAACGGCGGCCGUAACUAUAACGGUCCUAAGGUAGCGAAAUUCCUUGUCGGGUAAGUUCCGACCUGCACGAAUGGCAUAAUGAUGGCGGCGCUGUCUCCAGCAGAGGCUCAGUGAAAUCGAAAUCGCUGUGAAGAUGCAGUGUACCCGCGGCUAGACGGAAAGACCCCGUGAACCUUUACUGCAGCUUGACACUGAACUUUGACCUUACUUGUGUAGGAUAGGUGGGAGGCUUUGAAGCUGGAACGCUAGUUCCAGUGGAGCCGUCCUUGAAAUACCACCCUGGUAAUGUUGAGGUUCUAACUCUGUCCCGUGAUCCGGGACGAGGACCGUGUCUGGUGGGUAGUUUGACUGGGGCGGUCUCCUCCUAAAGAGUAACGGAGGAGUACGAAGGUGCGCUCAGCGUGGUCGGAAAUCACGCGUAGAGUAUAAAGGCAAAAGCGCGCUUAACUGCGAGACCCACAAGUCGAGCAGGUACGAAAGUAGGUCUUAGUGAUCCGGUGGUUCUGUAUGGAAGGGCCAUCGCUCAACGGAUAAAAGGUACUCUGGGGAUAACAGGCUGAUACCGCCCAAGAGUUCAUAUCGACGGCGGUGUUUGGCACCUCGAUGUCGGCUCAUCUCAUCCUGGGGCUGAAGCAGGUCCCAAGGG
This 2533-nucleotide ribosomal RNA is filed under the name Acinetobacter baumannii OIFC180. RNAcentral's name for it is "bacterial LSU rRNA". It matches the Rfam family "Bacterial large subunit ribosomal RNA", at positions 1 to 2571 of the family's 2925-position model. Lineage: Bacteria; Pseudomonadati; Pseudomonadota; Gammaproteobacteria; Moraxellales; Moraxellaceae. The record is from RNAcentral.